RNAcentral lists this ribosomal RNA (497 nucleotides) under uncultured bacterium. RNAcentral's name for it is "partial 16S ribosomal RNA". It matches the Rfam family "Bacterial small subunit ribosomal RNA", at positions 28 to 507 of the family's 1533-position model. The record is from RNAcentral.
GAUGAACGCUGGCGGCGUGCCUAAUACAUGCAAGUCGAGCGAACAGACGCGGAGCUUGCUCCUCUGACGUUAGCGGCGGACGGGUGAGUAACACGUGGAUAACCUACCUAUAAGACUGGGAUAACUUCGGGAAACCGGAGCUAAUACCGGAUAAUAUAUUGAACCGCAUGGUUCAAUAGUGAAAGACGGUUUUGCUGUCACUUAUAGAUGGAUCCGCGCCGCAUUAGCUAGUUGGUAAGGUAACGGCUUACCAAGGCAACGAUGCGUAGCCGACCUGAGAGGGUGGUCGGCCACACUGGAACUGAGACACGGUCCAGACUCCUACGGGAGGCAGCAGUAGGGAAUCUUCCGCAAUGGGCGAAAGCCUGACGGAGCAGCGCCGCGUGAGUGAUGAAGGUCUUCGGAUCGUAAAACUCUGUUAUUAGGGAAGAACAAAUGUGUAAGUAACUAUGCACGUCUUGACGGUACCUAAUCAGAAAGCCACGGCUAACUACGUG